CAUCGAAAGCUCCAUUUUCUAUAUAUAGGAAAACACGACAGAAUUAGCCAGAAACAAAAACAAAAUGGGAUCAGCUACCAUGAAAGCUACUACUAGUAGUAGCAUUUUUUGCACUUGUCUUUUAUUCUUGAUCAUCAGCUUCAGCUCUAGCUAUGCUAGCCCUUCAUACUCCUCAAAGGCCAUGAAGGGAGCUUACUAUCCCUCAUGGAGAGUUGCAGAUUUUCCACCAUCCGCCAUCGAUACAACCUUAUUCACUCACAUCUACUACGCAUUUCUCAACCCCAGUGCUUCAACUUUCGAGCUUGGCAUAGAUGCUUCAACAGCACAACUUCUCACCAACUUCACAUCAACUCUUCACUCCAAAAAUCCGCCAGUCAGGACACUUUUCUCCAUUGGCGGAGGAGGCGAUGAUCCGACUGUAUUUUCCCGCAUGGCCUCGACUCCAGCCUCUCGCAGGAGCUUCAUCCUCUCUACCAUAGAAGUAGCAAGAAAAUACGGGUUCGAUGGAUUCGAUCUCGACUGGGAGUUCCCUCAAAACCCGCAGGAAAUGAACGACUUAGGCAGCCUAUUCGACGAAUGGAGAGCUGAAAUCGUAAAAGAAUCCAAAGCAACACAUCGACCUCAGCUCUUGCUCUCCGCAGCAGUUUAUUUCUCUUCAACCUUUUUCCUAGCUGCUACGCCCAGAACUUACCCAAUAGCCUCAAUCAACAAGAAUUUAGAUUGGAUCAAUGCCAUGUGCUACGAUUAUCAUGGCGCCUGGGAACCUACAAUCACAGGUUCCAAUUCAGCAUUAUUUGACCCCAAAAGUAACAUCAGUACUAGCUAUGGAUUGGGAUCUUGGCUCAAGGCAGGGAUCUUGAGGAGCAAAUUGGUGAUGGGUUUGCCGCUUUAUGGCAAAACAUGGACGCUAAAGGACCCUAGCGUCCAUGGCGUGGGAGCUCCCGCAGUUGGUCUUGGUCCUGAGGGUGAUGGUGGAAGGGGGAUUUUGUUGUAUUACCAGGUCGAGGAGUUUAAUAAAAAGAACAAUGCCACAGUUGGAUUUGAUGUGGCUACUGCGUCUACUUAUUCAUUUGCAGGAACUGUAUGGGUUGGAUAUGAUGAUAGUAGAUCUACAGCAGCAAGGAUUGGAUAUGCUCAGGCUCUCAGGAUUCGUGGUUACUUCUUCUGGGCUUUGAGCUAUGAUCUGGACUGGAAAAUAUCCAGAACAGGUACUUACUGCUUACCAAUACUAGUAUUUUGUAUUACUUAUUGGUCUCUUAAUCUAAGUUUCACUUAAUUUUGAUGAAUUAUUAUUAGUUUAAGUUUAUGAAUCUCCGAGUCCAGAAUUUUGGUUCUCUCCAUAAUUCAUACUCCUUUAUAAUCUAUAUAAAAUGAAACCGUGGGUUAUUUUCAUAAGAAACUAAGAAACCUCUUCCUUUUUUUUUUGUAUCAAUCUUAAAAUGAUAAAUUUUCAUUUAUAGUACGUGGGAGAAGGAGAUACAGAUAGGAAUAUUCAAGAUUCAUUCCAUAUUGUGGAGUUAGAUGCUAGAGCAUUAACUAUUUAUCUUUUAGGUGGCUAAUUGAAAACUCUUCCGCAAGAUAUUUGGUCAGAAAAUCAGGCUGUGUGGGACUGUAAUAAUGAUAGUCCUUUUCUCAAUUAUUAGCUCUGCACAUGAGGCUGAAAAAGAUUUAUUACUGCACAACUCGUCUGGCCAACUAAGAUGAUAAACAAGUAUAUAUGGUGUUGCUUCUUCUUCUUCUUUUUUUUUCUUGCUGUUUUUAGCACUUUUUUGCACUAUCAGAAACGGAGGCAAUGGAAAUAAGAGUAUUCAGUUGUCCUUCAGCUUAAUUUCUUCUUUAAAUCUAACGUACUAGUGCUCGAAUUGAGACAAUAUAAUAUACCUUACACACUCUUGCACAUUCAACAUUAAUGAUUAAUAUACUACUACUUGAAUAAAGCCAACAACUCAGACCAAGAAGGAACAAAACUUAAGUUUGACUGCUUCGUAUUAUUGCUUUUGCCUCAGGAAUUAAAAGGUCAUACUCCUAAUUUACUUUCCCUGCCGUCCUAUAUGUAUUUUGCAGCUUCCCACUUGUGGAUUCAUUGAAUAAUGAAGUUAAGAUCUUAUCUGCGGAUGUUGGCCGGCAAAGCAUCCCUAGGCCAUGUUCCAUUUGAUCCUGCAACCUUUCAAGAACUUGGAUGUUGGGACUAACCGACCACUGGUGAUGCUAGUUGAUGGCAUAGAUGUAUUUUUCUUAGUAUCCUGUAACACUCCUAUUUUCCUAUCUAGUAGCAAUUUUAUUUCUAUUGGCCUGCAAAAUAGUUGCACACAUAAAAAAAUAAUGUAAGUUCAUUAACUUUACCAGAAAAUAGACUCCUCUCUUUAUAGUUUAUAUGUAUCCUUUGGAGUUCAAAAUGCCCAUUCAUUGAGAUUAAUGAUUAUCAUCACAUAAUGAUCACUAGAAUGAGCAAAAGAUUAAAAAUUGCAACAUGUAUAAGCGAUAAAUAUAAAUAUGAAAAUUCCUAAAAUUAAGGGAUAGUCCGUGAUUUCGUUUGCGGCAACUACAACUUAGAGUGGGAUUUUUCUAACAUAUAUUAAUUGGCGAAUGAACUUACAUAUUGCUCUUAUGUAUCACGAACCAAUAAUACAUUAAUUGGCAGAAAUAUUGUCAACUACUGGACAAGCUGGAAUUCUACCUCGGUCAACUUCAAAACACUGACAAAUGCAAUGGAGUACAGUAUAUUUUUGGCCACAAGGGUGGAUUUGGGGUGAGGCUCAUAAUAAAAAUGAGGAAGGUCAUAAAUUGAUGCAUGGUUAUAGCAGGCCUGUUAAAUUCUUGACACUUGGGAUAAAUUCUGGCGAGGAUAGGCCAAGCAGUUAAUGUGCGAAGUAACUUUUGUUCAGUGGAAAUUUAACACCUCAACCACUUUGUCACAUCAAGUCACCUGUCGAAAUUCAUUCAAAUAAUAGAUGGAACAAAUAAUAUUUUUAACAUUUGAGUUUCAUGAAAAGGGAUGUAACCCGUGUUAAAUCCGAAUUCAUUGAAGCUGUAUUUAUUUUUCAGUAAAAAAUUCAUGCGCUAAUUGAAAUAUCUUAAUAUUCGAGUUUCUUUUUUACAAGGAAAAUGCUAAUUCAAUUAACUUUGUCGUUAGCUAAAUCCAAGAUCCAAAACUGAGUCUGCAUUCCUUCAUUUGAGGACUAGAAUCUUGCACAGUAUUCUUUCCUUUCCUUUGUCGAGAUGGCCCUGUUUACUCAGGAACCUCCCGUUAAAAGUUGUUGAUUGCUAUAUUUACGUUUGUUUUCUCCUAAAACCAAUUUAUUUAUUUUUUUUUAAUAAGCAAGAGACUUUCAAAAGUUGCACUAUCAGCACCAAAUACAAGGGGAAAAAAAGAUACUACUGGUGCAGUCAAUGGCAGAUAACACUCUAAAACUUCAAAAUUUCCACAAAUACCAAUAACUCUAUGCAGCUUGAAUAGAUUAGCUGUUCAUGUCUACUACGAACAAAUUUAACGAGUGCAAGUUACAAGGCUCAAGAGAAAGAUUAGAUCUGAUCAAACUAACCUAAAAGAGAUCCCAAAUCUAGUAAGAACAAAUGAAGUUAAAAAUUCAACGAAAAAACUCUUGCUAGAAAAAUUGUAAUAGAAUAUAAAUUCCCCACUAGGAGAAUCCGAAUAAAUUCGAACUAGGAGAAUUUUUGAAGAGAAAAUUGUUACAAAAACAAAGACAAAAAAAAAAAAUCUAGGAAGAGCAGGAGAAUAGAGGUUAAGGAAUUUCUUGUCUGAAGUAAUUCUAGAAGGAAAAUUAGGCUGGGGGAGCUCCUAAAAUCAAUUUGUUGUUCGCAACUUUAUAAUUAAAAAACCAUCUGUGUCCCAUCUUGUAUCUAAGUGCCCAAAUAUUUGGUGCGCUUAGAUGAUAUCUUUGUUAGGUUACAGAACUUUGACGCUUGGGAGGCUAACUGGGUCCCUAGGAAGGCCAAUGUGCCAGCACAUUUAUUAGCUAGAAAUGCUCGCUCUAUUUCAGAUAUCUGUAGUUGGAGUUAUUCUCCACCAUCUUUUCUUCUCUCCGCAAUUUCGGCGGACCUAUCCUCACUUUAAUGAAAUUUUCUAUUUUGCUAUCAAAAAAAGUGCCCAAAUAUUUAUCCUAGCUAAGGAAAGGGAUAAUUUCAGAAAUUUCCCUUGAGGUUUCUGACAAUGUCACUCAGCUCCCCCCAAUUUUAGAAAACUACACUAACCUCCCUUGCUUUACUGCUGAAGAGACUGUAUAGAUCCAUCAGGCUAGAAUUAUACUUAAGUAUCCUAAAAUACCCUUAUGCAACAUCAUACAUCAAAAGAAAGUGAAAAAAAAAGGUUUAGUGAUCAAUUUAACCAAAAAAAAAAGGUAACAAACAUUUUUAUCUAGACUUGCUAUGCUUCCACGAUAAUUAUAAACCCAAAACCUCAUUAACCUGUUCAAACAAACUCCAAAUUAAACCCCAAAUUCCAUCAAUUUUGGCAUCACUAAAAUAAAAAAUUUUACCAAAAAUCGCACUCCAACUUAAUCCCUAAUUUCUAUCAAUUUCGACAUCAUCAAGAUUCCAAUCUCUACCCAAAUCACUUCCUCUACAAAUCAAUCAUAAGCACCACAACCAAUUAAAAUACCCUCAAAAAGCUUCUCGCCCUAAAUUAACACUAUAUUUUGUCUAUUGAUUAAUCUCACACCUCAAAUUAUGAACCCAACACCUAUCGCCUAUCACCUUCCUAAACAGAAAAAGACUUGGCCAACCAGUAUUGAUGCCUAUGCCAAGCGCAACCCCAUACUCCAAUGGCGUUAGGAAUAGAUAAAUUAAUCUUUGUGACAAACUACCACCAAUACUUGUAAAUCAAACAAAAAAAUGAAACCAAAUGAAGAUAUUAGAUUCUAGUGCAUAACAGGCAUAAUAGCAUAGUCCAAAUUCGUCCCUUUUUCUUUUCCAACCAUAACCCAUUAAUUUUAUUUUUUUCCCCUCUAUCACAACCAUGUUCAUCAUCUCUAUCUAAUUUGACCAUGAAAUUUUCGUUUGCUCUCUCAAUUUGUAAUUUUGGAAAUUUUGAUUAUUUAAUGUAUGCAAAUUAUAAUACGAGAAGAAAUAAACAAGAGGGGUUGAUAGUUAAAUACCAUGGAAAGAGAGAAAUAGACAAGAAAUAAAUACUUCGGAUAGGUUUGCAUGGUGGUGUAGUUGACGGGUGGAAGAGACUAUGGUGUUAUAAACAGGAAGGAGAAAAUCAUAAGAGGUUGAAAAAAAAGAAGGGAAAGAGAAAAGAAACAGCUGUUAAUUAAAGUAGGGUUGGGAAUGAUGACGAAUUGCUAUCGAUUUUUAUUUUUCUUUUACUUUUGGUUUGGUUUUUGUGUCCGACAUAUGUGGUAAAUUAUCUAUUAAAUAGAGGAUAUUGUAGUUAUUUUAUUGAGUCGAGGGAGGUCAGUAUAAUUUUUUAAAAUUGUGGGAAGCGAGUGAAAUUGUCAGAAACCUCAAGGGAGGUUUCUGAAAUUAUCCCCUGAGGGAAUGUUCAAUAUUGAUUGUGAUGUUGGGUUGAACAUGUCACGUUCCAAUACAAUCUUCCAUUGACUUUAUGUUUUCAUAGUCUUGCCUUUAUUUCAAAGUUUUUAAUGAUACAAUUACUUAUUACAGCCACGGUGAGAAGCUUCUGCGUUGACGGAAUAAACAUUAACGCUUGCAUCAAAAAGGUUUAUGUUGCAGAGUCAAAUUUUGCUUGUAUACAUGUAUACGUAACAGACCAAUUAUGGUGUUGAAAUACAAUUGAUUAACAAAUUAUGGGCAGCUACUGAAGCAAUAAUAAUGUCAAAUAUUCCAGAAGGAGUCAGUUUCUUGCGUGGAAAUUUACUUAAUUCACCUCUUUGUCAAACUCAACAAUUGAGGAAAUAAAGCUCUACAUAGAAAAGGAAAAAGUGCUUUUCUUGUGCGUAUGAAAAAAUCGAUGUUUUAACAAUAUUUGGAUUUCCUCAAUACCUUAAGAAAUAAUGCACGAUAUAGUUGAAAAAAAUGGAUUUCUUGUAAGUAUCUUCGUGAAAAAAAAAUAGAUGUUCUUACCGUAUUUGGAUUUCCAAGAAAACAAGAAAGAAACAAUUUGCCGAUGUUAUCAAAUAAAAAAAACAUAAAAAGCAUAAGAUUGAUGCUAAGCCCACAACCCUUGAUUAAUCCUAUAGCAAUCUUGUCAAUCUUCACAUACGUUAAGGGCUUUUCAUAUAUGCGUUUCAUUUAUGUAAUCCUAUUAGGAUUACUUUCUGUUUUUUUUCCUCAAUAAAUCAAGGACUCGGACUUCAUUUGUCUUUUCUACUCAUCUUUUCUUUUCUUGGACUUUCUUGGGUAUGAGUGGGAAUGCACAAAUCAAAACUUUUGUUAGUGCUUCUUGUUUGGUCCAAGCUUGAUAUUAAUAUAUUUGUGUUUCAUGUGGUUCCAAGUACCCGUGAAUUAUUCCCUAAAUCUCGGCUAAUAUUUAAGGAACCAAUAACAUGGUCCAACUGAAAGAGAUUGGCUGUCUUAAUCUAGGCAUUUCUAACCCAUAAAUAAAUUAUUCGAGAGUAGGCAUUCGGAAGUAUUUAUAAACUUCAUAACAUGUUUAGGCAUAAUCAACUAAUCACUUUGUAUAUAUCAAUGUUGAUAUAUAUAUAAAAUGCAGCAUAUUUUAGACGCCAAUAAAUGUAAGUAAUAUACAAGGUGGUGAGAUUGUGAAAUGGCUCAAGCACAAGAAGUUGAGUUGAAGUAUCAAAUAACACAAUGAUUAACGCGCAGAGGUGAACCGAUCAAUGUAUCCGCCCACUAUAUAUCUGCUUUUGAACAAGUCACCUGGGAAGGCUCUGUUUUGUCAGGCGCUGACCAGAACAGAACUGAAAUUGUCAAAGGCUUCCCUUCUCAACCUUAACUGGAUCAGCGUAAUAGUGUAAUACCAAAAAUUCAAUCAAUAGCGCAAAUUCAGAAUCCAACCUCAAUCCUUCUGGAUCAUGAAGCUGACUCCAAGACUAUAUAUAUGACACAAUCCGAAGGGAAUAAAGCCCCACAGAAACAAGAAACCGUUCGCUAUAACAGUUUCAUCAAAAGCUCCAUUUUCUAUAUAUUGGAAAAAACAGAGAAUUAGCCAGAAACAAAACAAAAUGGUGUUAGCUCCCAUGAAAGCUGCUAGUAGUAGCAUUUUUUGCACUUGUCUUUUAUUCAUGAUCAUCAGCUUCAGCUCUAGCUAUGCUAGCCCUUCAUACUCCUCUGAGGCCAUGAAGGGAGCUUACUACCCCUCAUGGAAAGUUGCAGAAUUUCCGCCAUCCGCCAUAGAUACAACCUUAUUCACUCACAUCUACUACGCAUUUCUCAACCCCAAUGCCUCAACUUUUAAGUUCGACAUAGAUGCCUCAACAGCAAACCUUCUCAUCGGCUUCACAUCAACUCUUCACUCCAAA
This 7403-nucleotide long non-coding RNA is filed under the name Coffea arabica (coffee). Its description in RNAcentral is "long non-coding RNA (CARA_LNC004078)". Lineage: Eukaryota; Viridiplantae; Streptophyta; Magnoliopsida; Gentianales; Rubiaceae. The record is from RNAcentral.